GGAUGCGUCCAUCAGCUAGUUGGUGAGGUAUAGCUCACCAAGGCUAGACGGUACUGGGUGAGAGCAUGUACAGUCACCAUGAACUGAGACACGGUCCAUACUCCUACGGGAGGCAGCAUAGAAUCUGCGCAAUGGGGGCAACCCUGACGCAGCGACACAGCGUGGAGGAUGAAGGUCUUCGGAUUGUAACUCCUUUUAUGAGGGAAGAAUAGAUGACGGUACCUCAUGAAUAAGUACCUGCUAACUACGUGCCAGAAGCAUCGGUGAUGCGUAGGGUACGAACGUUAUCCGGAGUCAUUGGGCGUAAAGAGAAGCGUAGGCGGUUUAGUUAGUCUCGGGUUAAAAACCAUGGCUCAACCAUGGGGAAGCUCUAGAUACUGCUAGACUUGAGAUAUAGAGGGGUGAAUGGAAUUCCGAGUGGAGUGGUGAAAUACGUUGAUAUUCGGAGGAACAUCAGAGGCGAAGGCGAUUCACUGGCCAUAUUCUGACGCUAAGGCUCGAAAGCGUGGGUAGCAAAACGGAUUAGAUACCCGUGUAGUCCACGCCGUAAACAAUGGAUGCUAGGUGUUUGGCACGACUUCUUAUUAUCUUCGGAUUUUUAAGUGGAAGUGUUAAGUGCCGCAGUUAACGCGUUAAGCAUCCCGCCUGGGAAGUACGGCCGCAAGGCUAAAACUCAAAUGAAUUGGCGGGGACCCGCACAAGCGGAGGAGCGCGUGGUUUAAUUCGAUGGUAAUCGAAGACCUUACCAGGGUUUGAAAUGUAUCUGCAUGCCCCUAGAAACAGGGGAGGCCUUCGAGGGUGAUACACAGGUGCUGCAUGGCCGUCGUCAGCUCGUGUCGUGAGAUGUAGGGUUAAGUCCCGAAACGAGCGCAACCCCCAUCCUAUGUUACAAGUAUCUUAGGAAACUGCCUCGGUAAAACGGGGAGGAAGGAGGGGAUGACGUCUGGUCCGCAUAGCCCUUAUGUCCUGGGCGACACACGCGCUACAUGGUCGGUAAAACGGGCAGCCAAGCCGUAAGGCGGAGCUAAUCCUAAAAAACCGAUCUCAGUUCAGAUUGUGGGCUGAAACUCGCCCACAUGAAGUUGAUCCGCUAGUAAUCGCAGAUCAGCAUGCUGCGGUGAAUACGUCUCGUCCUGCACUCACCGCCCGUC
RNAcentral lists this ribosomal RNA (1151 nucleotides) under uncultured microorganism. Its description in RNAcentral is "bacterial SSU rRNA". It matches the Rfam family "Bacterial small subunit ribosomal RNA", at positions 229 to 1398 of the family's 1533-position model. The record is from RNAcentral.